RNAcentral lists this transfer RNA (97 nucleotides) under Zoogloea dura. RNAcentral describes it as "Zoogloea sp. G-4-1-14 tRNA-Sec". It matches the Rfam family "Selenocysteine transfer RNA". The record is from RNAcentral. Lineage: Bacteria; Pseudomonadati; Pseudomonadota; Betaproteobacteria; Rhodocyclales; Zoogloeaceae.
GGAAGGGACACGACCCCCGGUGGGGCGACUGGUCUUCAAAACCAGGAGGGGCCGUCAAACGGUUCCUGGUGGGUUCGACUCCCAUUCUCUUCCGCCA